GAUGAAGAACGUAGCGAAAUGCGAUAAGUAAUGUGAAUUGCAGAAUUCAGUGAAUCAUCGAAUCUUUGAACGCACCUUGCACCCUUUGGUAUUCCGAAGGGUAUGCUCGUUUGAGUGUCAUUGUACUCUCACACUUCUAAUUCCUUUCGGGAUUGGGAGCGGUGGACUUGGGUGUUGCUGCUUUAGUUGUGGCUCACCUCAAAUAAGUUAGUGCAACUCUUGGUUGGACAUAGUACGGCGUGAUAAGUGUCUUCGCCGGCACCUCAUAAGAGGGUGGCCGAUCAGGAGCUCUGUGCUUUCAAACUGUCUUCGGACAAUCUCUGACAACUUGACCUCAAAUCGAGUAGGACUACCCGCUGAACUUAAGCAUAUCAAUAAGCGGAGGA
This 386-nucleotide unclassified non-coding RNA is filed under the name soil metagenome. Its description in RNAcentral is "partial contains 5.8S ribosomal RNA, internal transcribed spacer 2, and large subunit ribosomal RNA". The stretch from base 1 to 120 matches the Rfam family "5.8S ribosomal RNA", at positions 35 to 154 of the family's 154-position model. The record is from RNAcentral.